This is a long non-coding RNA of Macaca mulatta (Rhesus monkey), 258 nucleotides long. RefSeq lists it as uncharacterized. NCBI's taxonomy places the organism in Eukaryota, Metazoa, Chordata, Mammalia, Primates, Cercopithecidae. The record is from RefSeq and is a predicted model, not a curated record.
ACAGAAGAAAUAUGCCUGGAUAUGCAGCGGGGAUGGAAACGGGAUUCCCAUAUGUUAUUCCUCAAAAUUCUCAGAUGGUGAGUUUGAGUCUUCUGAGAGAACUAACAACUUCAGAGCCUUGAAAUGUGCAUCCACCACACAAAACUAUCUAUAUUCCCUAAAUUUAUUGCUUCCAGCAGCUGAUGUGUCGCCUACUGGAUCAAAUGAGCACGAGAGACCUGGUGGCCCUUCCAGGAAUGACACUAUUACAGAGAAGAU